GCUUAGCCAUAAACCCAGAUAUUUAACAUACAAAAAUAUCCGCCAGAGAACUACGAGCAAAACGCUUAAAACUCUAAGGACUUGGCGGUACCUUAAACCCCCCUAGAGGAGCCUGUUCUAUAAUCGAUAAUCCACGAUCUACCUCACCAUCUCUUGCCAAUACCGCCUAUAUACCGCCGUCACCAGCCUACCCUAUGAAGGAUAUAAAAGUAGGCAAAAUCGCACAACAGCUAACAAGUCAGGUCAAGGUGUAGCUUACUGAGAUGGAAGAAAUGGGCUACAUUUUCUAAACUAGAAAUCAUUUCACGGAAAGAACUAUGAAACAAGUUCUAUAAGCAGGAUUUAGCAGUAAAUAGGGAUCAGAAUGCCCAAUUUAAGCCGGUCCUAAGGUACGC
This 395-nucleotide ribosomal RNA is filed under the name Testudo hermanni. RNAcentral's name for it is "partial 12S ribosomal RNA". It matches the Rfam family "Bacterial small subunit ribosomal RNA", at positions 794 to 1384 of the family's 1533-position model. The record is from RNAcentral. Lineage: Eukaryota; Metazoa; Chordata; Testudines; Testudinidae.